RNAcentral lists this unclassified non-coding RNA (520 nucleotides) under Cryptosporiopsis sp. 1 KO-2013. Its description in RNAcentral is "partial contains ITS1, 5.8S rRNA and ITS2". The stretch from base 179 to 332 matches the Rfam family "5.8S ribosomal RNA". Lineage: Eukaryota; Fungi; Ascomycota; Leotiomycetes; Helotiales; Dermateaceae. The record is from RNAcentral.
AGGGAUCAUUACAGAGACUCUGCCCUUUGGGUAGACCUCCCACCCUGUGUCGUUAUACCUUCGUUGCUUUGGCGGGCCGCGGGGCCCCGGCCCCGCCCCUGGCUCCGGCUAGGGCGCGCCCGCCAGAGGACCUCAAAACCUGAAUGUUAGUGUCGUCUGAGUACUAUAUAAUAGUUAAAACUUUCAACAACGGAUCUCUUGGUUCUGGCAUCGAUGAAGAACGCAGCGAAAUGCGAUAAGUAAUGUGAAUUGCAGAAUUCAGUGAAUCAUCGAAUCUUUGAACGCACAUUGCGCCCCUUGGUAUUCCGGGGGGCAUGCCUGUUCGAGCGUCAUUACAACCCUCAAGCUCUGCUUGGUCUUGGGCGUCACCGGUCCCGGUGUGCCUUAAAAUCAGUGGCGGCGCCAUCUGGCUCUAAGCGUAGUACAUACUCUCGCUACAGACGUCCGGUGGAUGCUGGCCAGCAACCCCCAACUUAUCAAGGUUGACCUCGGAUCAGGUAGGGAUACCCGCUGAACUUAA